Molecule: ribosomal RNA, 913 nt
Filed under: uncultured bacterium
Lineage: Bacteria
Description: bacterial SSU rRNA
Rfam family: Bacterial small subunit ribosomal RNA
Source: RNAcentral
GAUGAACGCCGGCGGUGUGCCUAAUACAUGCAAGUCGAACGCGUUGGCCCAAUUGAUUGAUGGUGCUUGCACCUGAUUGAUUUUGGUCGCCAACGAGUGGCGGACGGGUGAGUAACACGUAGGUAACCUGCCCAGAAGCGGGGGACAACAUUUGGAAACAGAUGCUAAUACCGCAUAACAACGUUGUUCGCAUGAACAACGCUUAAAAGAUGGCUUCUCGCUAUCACUUCUGGAUGGACCUGCGGUGCAUUAGCUUGUUGGUGGGGUAACGGCCUACCAAGGCGAUGAUGCAUAGCCGAGUUGAGAGACUGAUCGGCCACAAUGGGACUGAGACACGGCCCAUACUCCUACGGGAGGCAGCAGUAGGGAAUCUUCCACAAUGGGCGCAAGCCUGAUGGAGCAACACCGCGUGAGUGAAGAAGGGUUUCGGCUCGUAAAGCUCUGUUGUUAAAGAAGAACACGUAUGAGAGUAACUGUUCAUACGUUGACGGUAUUUAACCAGAAAGUCACGGCUAACUACGUGCCAGCAGCCGCGGUAAUACGUAGGUGGCAAGCGUUAUCCGGAUUUAUUGGGCGUAAAGAGAGUGCAGGCGGUUUUCUAAGUCUGAUGUGAAAGCCUUCGGCUUAACCGGAGAAGUGCAUCGGAAACUGGAUAACUUGAGUGCAGAAGAGGGUAGUGGAACUCCAUGUGUAGCGGUGGAAUGCGUAGAUAUAUGGAAGAACACCAGUGGCGAAGGCGGCUACCUGGUCUGCAACUGACGCUGAGACUCGAAAGCAUGGGUAGCGAACAGGAUUAGAUACCCUGGUAGUCCAUGCCGUAAACGAUGAGUGCUAGGUGUUGGAGGGUUUCCGCCCUUCAGUGCCGGAGCUAACGCAUUAAGCACUCCGCCUGGGGAGUACGACCGCAAGGUUG